UACCAUCUCCAUGGAAGAAGCCCCAAAUUCCUAGAAUGUUAGGAAUCAGCUAAUGGCUAUAACGAAGCUUUCUUAGCUGGGAUGGGAGUGGUGUUCUAUAGCACCCUAUUUGGUUCUAUCUAUCUUUAUUUCUAUUUUUCUAUCUAUGAAUCAUCUUUCUAUUUUUCAUCUAUUUGUCUGUUUUUAAUGACCUUAUCUUGAUUUUGUACUUUUCUCCUGGAAAUUAGGCAAGCAUAUAGUCACUCAUUCAAACUCACCAGAACCAGACCUGGCUGGGCCCUGGGGAUAAAAAGAAAAAAAAAUUGUCAUUUGAAGGUGACUUUUGAAUAGCCAGAGGCCUUAUCGCCUUGAAGGAAGAUAACUUUACACACCAACAGAAGAUCUGUAUUGCAUUUUUCAUAGAAAUUUUGGUUGGAGACCAUAUACUUAGUGUAGAACUUGCCCUUUUUAAACAAUAUUGUCCCUUUACCAAAUUCAGAUGACGAACAGUGCAAGGAUCUUAACACCAGCGAAGGGUAGGAUAAUCAUGUGCCUCCAUCUUGAAACUUUCUUGAGAGACUUUCAGUGAAAUUACCAAAAUCAGAAAAUAGGACUAAAUAUUUUAUAAGGGCUGUUAAGAUCAAUUAGAACGACACUCAAGAAGUUGGAAGAGAAGUUGUUAGUUAUUUGGGCCAGAGAUGAACUAGCUAUGACCCCAGGAAGUGCUAGAAAAGAGAUCCUUAAAAUAGCUUGGAACGAGCUCGUGAAAUGGCUUCCACUCUCAAUGCUGACAUGACUUCCACUCUUAACAUGGACGCCAAGGAUCGGAUGAUUCUUCCCUUUGGGUCUUGUACAUUGGGGGGUGUUAGCAGCAUCCCUGCCUCUGCCCACUGGAUGCCAGUGGCAGCCCUAUGGUUUGUGGUCAUUAAAACUAUACGCAGACAUUGGUAGACUCCUUAAGUUGGAGAUGAUGGGAGCAGAAUCAGCUCUAGUUGGAAUCACUGCUUAGUGACAUGGGGUUUAUGCAUGACUGAUGGCCAGUCUAGUCUUGUGGUGUGUUAGCCUCCUGUCGUUUGGAAGCUCUCAUUUCUGUUCAUCUUGUAUUUGCUGUGUAUCUGUGCUGAGUAACUGCCCCUCCCCCUCCCUCAGACUAAAGUUAACCACGUGAGCAAGACAGAUGAACAGAGCAAGCGGAGACCUGUUCUCAGUUGGUUCUUUUGUUAAUGAAGGAAACCGUUUGAAGGACUCUGCUCCAGGUGUGUGUUCUAGUGGGGCAGAAAAAAAGAAAACC
RNAcentral lists this long non-coding RNA (1270 nucleotides) under Mus musculus (house mouse). RNAcentral's name for it is "long non-coding RNA chr4:54997215-54998485". The record is from RNAcentral. Lineage: Eukaryota; Metazoa; Chordata; Mammalia; Rodentia; Muridae.